Anguilla rostrata (American eel) is the source of this 2790-nucleotide RNA transcript. It is a transcript of the gene named paraspeckle component 1-like, with no coding region annotated. The record is from RefSeq and is a predicted model, not a curated record. The transcript has 11 exons. NCBI's taxonomy places the organism in Eukaryota, Metazoa, Chordata, Actinopteri, Anguilliformes, Anguillidae.
UGCCGCAGAGAAACACGUACCGUUCAAACGCCAUUUUGAAAAACAGGCACCUUUAACUCGUUUUUCCAGAGGAGCAGUACACCAGCAUAUUUGCUCUUCCGUGAACGUUACUUUCAGUUCGCCUGAAAUAUAUUUUAUAUUCUUAAUUUAAUAACUCCGAAAUAUCGUGUAAAUGGCUAACAUGGCUAACCGAAAUCUUAAACAGGUUAAUAUACACAACAGCGCUCCGUCACCCAGACCCCAUAGCACCAGUCGCAAUUCGGAGUCGCCUGCCGCCGAACAAGGGCCAAAGAUGGAGGGACCAACAACGUCAACUACCGAUUCCAUUUCUGACUCUGGCGCUGGUGAGCCACUGGAGAUGACUCUUGACUUAAAAGGCUUCAGGAAACCAGGAGAGAAAACGUUUACUCAGCGCUGCAGGUUGUUUGUGGGUAAUCUCCCAACUGACUUGACGGGGGAGGAUUUCAAAAAGCUCUUUUCAAAAUAUGGAGAAGCCAACGAAGUGUUCAUCAACAGAGACCGGGGAUUCGGAUUCAUCCGGCUGGAAACCAGGAUGCUGGCGGAGAUCGCGAAAGCUGAGCUGGACGGAACCGUCAUGAGGAACCGUCCAAUCCGGAUCCGCUUCGCCACCCACGGUUCAGCGCUGACGGUGCGCAAUCUUUCCCAGACGGUGUCCAACGAGCUUCUGGAGCAGGCUUUCUCCCAGUUUGGACCCGUGGAAAGGGCCAUUGUCGUGGUUGAUGACCGUGGCAGACCGACUGGCAAAGGAUUCGUGGAGUUUGCUUCGAAACCUGCUGCCCGCAAGGCCUUGGAGCGCUGUGGGGAUGGGGCCCUUCUGCUGACAACGUCACCCCGUCCUGCUAUUGUUGAGCCAACAGAGCAGUUUGAUGAUGAAGACGGCCUACCCGAAAAGUUGCUGCAGAAAUCUGCACAAUAUCACAAGGAGAGGGAGCAGCCCCCACGCUUUGCCCAGCCGGGCACCUUUGAGUUUGAGUACUCCUCUCGCUGGAAGGCCCUGGAUGAGAUGGAGAAGCAGCAGCGUGAUCAGGUGGACCGGAAUAUCCGCGAGGCCAAGCAGAAACUGGAGGCCGAGAUGGAGGCCGCACGACACGAGCAUCAGCUCAUGAUGAUGAGACAAGAUCUAAUGAGGCGUCAGGAGGAGCUGAGACGUUUGGAAGAGCUGAGGAACCAGGAGCUUCAGAAGCGGAAGCACAUAGAAAUGAGGCACGAGGAGGAGAGGAGGAGGCGGGAGGAGGAAAUGAUGCGCCAUCGGGAGCAGGAGGAGAUGAGACGGCAACCGGACGGGUACAAGCCUAACUACAUGGACAGCGUGUUCUCUGGGAUGCUGAGGACAGCGGCGAUGUUACCUGUUUUGCUUCAGAUGAGUGGUGAGGACCCUGACCUCAGCUUCCGUGUACAUAGCUUACAUUUUUCACACUCGCAGGUGAAACGCACCCUUCCGAUCCAUCCAUCUGUUCGGCCAUCAGACAGAACAGAAGCAGGUUUCUCUUCACUGAAGACAGAAGGAAAAGUAACAGACUGAAACCCACUACUUUCCAUCUGAGCAACCAUUCACCUCUAAGGUCUGCUGCGAUGACUUUGACUUGUAAAUGGAUGGCGAUCGUGGGAUGAAUGACAGCAAUAUGUGUCAGAUACAACACGUGUUCCUUCUGUAAGCGAAAUAACUUGGAGAUGUAGCAUCCUCCACCUAAAGGCCUGUACACCUUUUCAACCCCAUCUGUGUAUUACACACGAUAUCAUCGUAUUUAGAACGGUAGUUCUCCCUCUGGGUUGCCCUGCUACACUGAGUGCUAUCACCAUAGAUUGAGCUUAGCCGAGACCCCAGGCCUGGCUCCUGAGCCCCCGUGCGUACCAGGAAGAUUGGCAGCUGGAACUUGUCGUUGAGCACCACGGCGUGGACACUGCAGGGUCCGCACAGCCUCGCCGUGAUCUCGCUCAGGAAGUUGGCGUGGAAGACGAAGAGGAGAAUCCCCGACCCUGCCGGAGAGAGAGACGAGACUCAGCAGCUCGCUCCAGCUUGGGAUGAAGCCGUUGGGAAGGGUUAAACCAGAGUUGCCAGUGCAGUUCCGAAAAUCACUCAAGACAAAGUAUAGGAGGAUUGUGAGAAGAACUGGGCGGGUAGCUGUCUGAGGGGGCGUGGGAUUCCGAUCUUUGGUCAGCCAAUAAUAUCAAGGUUUGUAGUAAAAGGUCCCGCAGAAAGCUAACCUAUAAGAAGGUAUGAAAUGCCAGCGCAAUAUAAUUGUUUUAUCUUUUGACAGCACUGCUGUCUUAAUUAUAAUGAACGAUAGUCAUUAUAAUUUACAAUACAUCAACAACCAUAAAAAAAACCAACCAAUGAGAUAGUUCCUUUUGAUAUAAUUUAUUAUUUGAAGAGUAUCACAUUAAGAAUGAGUAUACAACCAUUUCAAUUUAUGCACUACAUUAACUAUGUAAGUAAAUUGAUCUGAUAUCCUUCUUCACAGCACACAAUUUCCCACUUUAGGACCAGGGCAGGGCAUGCCAAAGCUUGUUCUACAAAGUCUAAUAGCCUUGUGCCAGGGAUUUCCUUUAGUCAAAUGCAACUAUAGCCCUGUGGCUCCCACAGCCAAACCAGAUGCUGCCUACAUUUCUCCAAGGAGGAGGACACAUUAAAAAGUUUUCUUUGUACCAAAUCUCCACGAGCAUUUACAUUUUAGGCAUUUAGUAGACACUAAUACACACAGAGCUAUACAGCUGACAUUCUAUUUACAUACAAUUCAACUAUGCAGCUGGGCAUUUACUGAUGUAAUA